AGAGUUUGAUCCUGGCUCAGGACGAACGCUGGCGGCGUGCUUAACACAUGCAAGUCGAACGGAAAGGCCCCUUCGGGGGUACUCGAGUGGCGAACGGGUGAGUAACACGUGGGUGAUCUGCCCUGCACUUUGGGAUAAGCCUGGGAAACUGGGUCUAAUACCGAAUAGGACCGCAUGCUUCAUGGUGUGUGGUGGAAAGCUUUUGCGGUGUGGGAUGGGCCCGCGGCCUAUCAGCUUGUUGGUGGGGUAAUGGCCUACCAAGGCGACGACGGGUAGCCGGCCUGAGAGGGUGUCCGGCCACACUGGGACUGAGAUACGGCCCAGACUCCUACGGGAGGCAGCAGUGGGGAAUAUUGCACAAUGGGCGCAAGCCUGAUGCAGCGACGCCGCGUGAGGGAUGACGGCCUUCGGGUUGUAAACCUCUUUCACCAGGGACGAAGCGCAAGUGACGGUACCUGGAGAAGAAGCACCGGCCAACUACGUGCCAGCAGCCGCGGUAAUACGUAGGGUGCGAGCGUUGUCCGGAAUUACUGGGCGUAAAGAGCUCGUAGGUGGUUUGUCGCGUUGUUCGUGAAAACUCACAGCUUAACUGUGGGCGUGCGGGCGAUACGGGCAGACUAGAGUACUGCAGGGGAGACUGGAAUUCCUGGUGUAACGGUGGAAUGCGCAGAUAUCAGGAGGAACACCGGUGGCGAAGGCGGGUCUCCGGGCAGUAACUGACGCUGAGGAGCGAAAGCGUGGGGAGCGAACAGGAUUAGAUACCCUGGUAGUCCAA
RNAcentral lists this ribosomal RNA (775 nucleotides) under uncultured bacterium. RNAcentral describes it as "bacterial SSU rRNA". It matches the Rfam family "Bacterial small subunit ribosomal RNA", at positions 8 to 798 of the family's 1533-position model. The record is from RNAcentral.